Molecule: non-coding RNA, 121 nt
Organism: Picea glauca (white spruce)
Lineage: Eukaryota; Viridiplantae; Streptophyta; Pinopsida; Pinales; Pinaceae
Source: Rfam
ACAUGCUUACAAAAUAGCGUUAAUGCAUCAGAUUCUAUUAGAAAUCCAUAGUUAAGUGUGCUCGGGGUAGAGUAGUACUGGGAUGGGUGACCUCCUGGGAAGUCCUAGUGUUUUACAUGCC